This is a long non-coding RNA of Polypterus senegalus (gray bichir), 802 nucleotides long. RefSeq lists it as uncharacterized. The record is from RefSeq and is a predicted model, not a curated record. The transcript has 4 exons. NCBI's taxonomy places the organism in Eukaryota, Metazoa, Chordata, Cladistia, Polypteriformes, Polypteridae.
GAGAUUAGAGACCCUUUCUUUACCAGUUGUCUCUAGGGCUUGUAUGAAUUUGAGACUUUUUCUUUAACAGAUGUCUCUGGAGUAAAAGGCCUGUACGGGAUUAGAGACCCUUUCAUUAACAGGUGUCUCUAGGGUUCUCCUGCCCUCAGGAUCCUGGUCUGAGUCCUAGAACCUUAAUAUUUCAACCUCUAUGGUUGGUGGAGAGAAGAGAUUGAAAAUACAAGACAAAACAUUCAUAUGUCCAUACAUUUUAAAACCAGUUUUUGUAAUUCGUUCAGUUUUUCCUUUUGGAUAUACUUAUUCUUUUACAACAAGUUGUUUUGUCCUUUAAUAAAAGCAAAGGAAACUUAUCAAAAAGAUAUGUAUUUUUUUAUUCUUUUGUUUUCUUCAAAGGAAACUUAUUUUCAGUCCAUAAUUAUAUUUGGGAAGGAAGGUUCAUUAAAUCCUUUUUAACAAGAUUGUUUUGUUUUUGUAAAAAGUAAAGGAAACUUAUUCAAAGGAAACUUAUAAGGUUGUUAUUGAUAUUCCUCUUUCUUUUGGUGUCUUUUAUAUUUUUGUUUUUUAGGUGUUAGUUGAUCAAAUCAGCAUUGGGUGAAGGCCUUCCCUUAGUCCCCCAGCUUCUUCAACAAAACCAUGAUGGACCCCCCGAAAAAUGUGAUUUUCAUUGAAGGGCCUUUCACAUGCUAAAUUUUGAAAAAAACUUUUAUUUAUUUGUUUCAAAUUUUUGUUGGUUUAGUUUUAAUAAACAGACCUUUGUUGUGUAAAAAAAGUUUUCUUGGUCUGUUAUUUUAAAGAAGACACC